RNAcentral lists this ribosomal RNA (212 nucleotides) under uncultured bacterium. Its description in RNAcentral is "partial 16S ribosomal RNA". It matches the Rfam family "Bacterial small subunit ribosomal RNA", at positions 524 to 734 of the family's 1533-position model. The record is from RNAcentral.
UACAGAGGGGGCAAGCGUUGUUCGGAAUUACUGGGCGUAAAGGGCGCGUAGGCGGCCUGUUAAGUCGAACGUGAAAUCCCCGGGCUCAACCCGGGAACUGCGUCCGAUACUGGCAGGCUUGAAUUCGGGAGAGGGAUGCGGAAUUCCAGGUGUAGCGGUGAAAUGCGUAGAUAUCGGGAGGAACACCUGCGGCGAAAGGCGGCCAUCUGGCC